RNAcentral lists this long non-coding RNA (863 nucleotides) under Helianthus annuus (common sunflower). RNAcentral's name for it is "sRNA HanXRQr2_Chr10g0422211". Lineage: Eukaryota; Viridiplantae; Streptophyta; Magnoliopsida; Asterales; Asteraceae. The record is from RNAcentral.
GGGGCCGGUCACGGUGGUUUCGUGGCACUAACGACCGUCAUUUUGACGCGUAAGCCGGUUCCAUUUCAUAGUCUGAAGGCAGGGAAGCCACAGGUGGUGGUGGUUUGUGCAUCCGAGGGGCGGUGAUUGGGUCCAAUGGCGUUACAGCUCGCAUGCCGGCGUCCCCGGUACUCAACAUCGACGACAGCAACUUUGAUGAAUUGGGUGGCGGUAGUUCAAGAUGUGGAUUAGGUUUUUCGGUGGCCAUUGGUGACGGCGAACAGGUUUCGUGACGAUACACGAGUGGAGAACCACGAGGGAUGUUAGAUCGGAGGUUUGCAUAGCUAGCCAGUGACGGCGCUCAAGUGCCUACGGUUCCGAUCAAGUUCUGGCAACUUUUCGGUGUAGUUUCACACUUGGAUGUUGGCAAAGGGCUGUGACAAACUGCGGCAAAUAGUAAGGAUGCAAAUACACGAGGAUCUUGAUGUGAGGUGAGAUCGCUCUUAUUAAUGUUGCAAGGCAAGGGCAUAUCUCCAAUGCUAAUACCUCAUUGAACACGUACUGAAACUGAUGAUGACAUUACUUCUUUGUUCUUAGCUGUAGUUGCAGACUCACUCCAAUGUUUGGAGCUAUUAACAUAGGAAGGCGCAAAAGUUCAAUCACGGGGACUAAUACAACCAAGCUUUAGGCCGGUCAAUUGUUUGUGUCUUUAGCUCUUGCUUUUAUAUGUCUAUUUUUAUUAUUAACUCAGAUAUAUAACCAAAAAGGAGAGUAACGUCUUUCAAAAUAUAAGUUUUAAUAGAUUUUCAUUUACUUAAUGUUGAUUUUGCAUCUCCUACGACUUGAUCCAAAAGACGCUUUACAUCUUUUGCACGGUUCGUUUA